This 31-nucleotide non-coding RNA is filed under the name Mus musculus (house mouse). Lineage: Eukaryota; Metazoa; Chordata; Mammalia; Rodentia; Muridae. The record is from RNAcentral.
UGGUUCGCCCGAGCUGUUUCUGUUUUACAGU